Molecule: long non-coding RNA, 658 nt
Organism: Corticium candelabrum
Lineage: Eukaryota; Metazoa; Porifera; Homoscleromorpha; Homosclerophorida; Plakinidae
Exons: 4
Source: RefSeq, a predicted model, not a curated record
UGCUGUGAUGAGGUCAAAGGUCUAUUGCUUUGUCUUCACUGACUUUGCACUGGUGGAGAUAGAGUCUUACGCCUUACAAUUUGGAGCCAUUCGUCGCGUCUGGCUAUUCUGCAACUCUUUCUUUUCAAACUUCUAGCUUUUCAGGAAAUUGUAUGCAGCCAGGGUGCUUUAGUGUGAGCUAAAUGACAAAUUGAGGGUUGUAAUUGGCUCAGACGGUGUCCUUUUGUAUGAGUGGUGGGUAGUUAUUGGGCAAACGACUGAAAAUUGAAUUUGAAUUAAUGGAGAAGAGCUGAAUCACGUAUCUUCUUGCAAAGGGCACGUUUGAAUCUCAUCAAUGUGCCCUCUUCCCUACAUUUAGCUGCACUACUGAAUGACUUCCAUCGCCUUUUGAAGACAGCUAAAGCUUGAAAGGCAAGAAAAUUUGGUUGAUGGACGAAAAAUACCAACUUGCUUAUAGCAAUAGCGAUAAUUAAGGCUGGUAAAGAAUUUUAGGUGGAUUUUUGGAUCAAUGUAAAUGUAGUUUGAUCUAUUUUAUGCACUUGAUCCAAGCACGUGCAAAGGCAAACGUCAGAAAACAAGAAAUGGAUAGCUUAAUUGAAUUUACCACUUCUAUACAGGUGUAUACAUAUAUACAUUGCGUGUGCUAGUUUGUUGCUCU